Molecule: small RNA, 127 nt
Filed under: Marmota monax (woodchuck)
Lineage: Eukaryota; Metazoa; Chordata; Mammalia; Rodentia; Sciuridae
Source: RNAcentral
GCCAGGUGUGGUGGCUCAUGCCUGUAAUCCCAGCAGCUCAGGAGGCUGAAGCAGGAGGAUCUUGAGUCCAAUGCCAGCCUCAGCAACUUAGCGGGGCCCUAAGCAACCUAGCAAGACCUUGUCUCUA